UCCCCUACGGGACGCAGCAGUGGGGAAUAUUGGACAAUGGGGGGAACCCUGAUCCAGCGACGCCGCGUGAGUGAAGAAGUAUUUCGGUAUGUAAAGCUCUGCCAGCAGGGAAGAAGGAAAUGACGGUACCUGACUAAGAAGCCCCGGCUAACUACGUGCCAGCAGCCGCGGUAAUACGUAGGGGGCAAGCGUUAUCCGGAUUUACUGGGUGUAAAGGGAGCGUAGACGGCGAUGCAAGUCUGAAGUGAAAGGCGGGGGCCCAACCCCCGGACUGCUUUGGAAACUGUAUGGCUGGAG
This 297-nucleotide ribosomal RNA is filed under the name uncultured bacterium. Its description in RNAcentral is "partial 16S ribosomal RNA". It matches the Rfam family "Bacterial small subunit ribosomal RNA", at positions 335 to 646 of the family's 1533-position model. The record is from RNAcentral.